CAAUGCUGGCGGACUUGGCGG
RNAcentral lists this unclassified non-coding RNA (21 nucleotides) under Chlamydomonas reinhardtii. RNAcentral describes it as "small RNA Cre_0865". The record is from RNAcentral. Lineage: Eukaryota; Viridiplantae; Chlorophyta; Chlorophyceae; Chlamydomonadales; Chlamydomonadaceae.